UCUUCGGCAAUGGACGAAAGUCUGACCGAGCAACGCCGCGCGAGUGAAGAAGGUUUUCGGAUCGUAAAACUCUGUUGUUAGAGAAGAACAAGGAUGAGAGUAAAAAGUUUAUCCCUUGACGGUAUCUAACCAGAAAGCCACGGCUAACUACGUGCCAGCAGCCGCGGUAAUACGUAGGUGGCAAGCGUUGUCCGGAUUUAUUGGGCGUAAAGCGAGCGCAGGCGGUUUCUUAAGUCUGAUGUGAAAGCCCCCGGCUCAACUGGGGAGGGUCAUUGGAAACUGGGAAACUUGAGUGCAGAGGAGGAGAGUGGAAUUCCAUGUGUAGCGGUGAAAUGCGUAGAUAUAUGGAAGAACACCAGUGGCGAAGGCGGCUCUCUGGUCUGUAACUGACGCUGAGGCUCGAAAGCGUGGGGAGCAAACAGGA
Molecule: ribosomal RNA, 424 nt
Filed under: uncultured bacterium
Lineage: Bacteria
Description: bacterial SSU rRNA
Rfam family: Bacterial small subunit ribosomal RNA
Source: RNAcentral